RNAcentral lists this ribosomal RNA (253 nucleotides) under uncultured bacterium. RNAcentral describes it as "partial 16S ribosomal RNA". It matches the Rfam family "Bacterial small subunit ribosomal RNA", at positions 524 to 776 of the family's 1533-position model. The record is from RNAcentral.
GACAGAGGGUGCAAACGUUGUUCGGAUUUACUGGGCGUAAAGCGCGUGUAGGCGGCUUUGCAAGUCGGAUGUGAAAGCCCACGGCUCAACCGUGGAAGUGCAUCCGAAACUGCAUGGCUUGAGUCUCGGAGAGGAAGGUGGAAUGCUUGGUGUAGAGGUGAAAUUCGUAGAUAUCAAGCAGAACACCUGCGGCGAAGGCGGCCUUCUGGACGAUGACUGACGCUGAGACGCGAAAGCCAGGGGAGCAAACGGG